RNAcentral lists this ribosomal RNA (716 nucleotides) under uncultured Thermaceae bacterium. RNAcentral describes it as "bacterial SSU rRNA". It matches the Rfam family "Bacterial small subunit ribosomal RNA", at positions 589 to 1309 of the family's 1533-position model. Lineage: Bacteria; Thermotogati; Deinococcota; Deinococci; Thermales; Thermaceae. The record is from RNAcentral.
CCGAUGCUAAAGACUGGGGCUCAACCCCAGGGGUGCGUUGGAUACUGUGAGGCUAGACGGUCGGAGGGGGUAGCGGAAUUUCCGGAGUAGCGGUGAAAUGCGCAGAUACCGGAAGGAACGCCAAUAGCGAAGGCAGCUACCUGGACGACUUGUGACGCUGAGGCGCGAAUGCGUGGGGAGCAAACCGGAUUAGAUACCCGGGUAGUCCACGCCCUAAACCAUGAGUGCUGGGUGUCCGGCUUCUGCUGGGUGCCGUAGCUAACGCGCUAAGCACUCCGCCUGGGAAGUACGCACGCAAGUGUGAAACUCAAAGGAAUUGACGGGGGCCCGCACAAGCGGUGGAGCAUGUGGUUUAAUUCGAAGCGACGCGAAGAACCUUACCAGGCCUUGACAUGCCCGGAACCCCUCUGAAAGGAGGGGGUGCCCGCAAGGGAGCCGGGACACAGGUGCUGCAUGGCCGUCGUCAGCUCGUGUCGUGAGAUGUUGGGUUAAGUCCCGCAACGAGCGCAACCCCUAUCCCUAGUUGCCAGCAGUUCGGCUGGGCACUCUAUGGAGACUGCCUGCGAAAGCAGGAGGAAGGCGGGGAUGACGUCUGGUCCGCAUGGCCCUUACGGCCUGGGCGACACACGUGCUACAAUGCCAAGGACAGAGCGCUGCUACCUCGCGAGAGGACGCCAAUCGCAAAAACCUUGGCUCAGUUCGGAUUGGAGUCUGCA